CUUUCUAUCUCCCCCACUCCCAUAACACUCUCUCUGGCCUUGCCGCCUGUUCUUCGUAGCCCCUCUCUCGCGCCAUAUGUUCUUCCGGUAGCCUUUCUCAGUAUCUCUUUUCUCCUCCCUCAUGCAGUGGAUGCCUGGACGGAAUCAUUCUUGAUCUUGUCAUCUCUGCUCGUCUCUACAUCUCUGCAUUCUCCAGAUUCCCCUCCAGGGAGACUUCUAUAAUUAUUCGGGAUGCGGUAACACAUUCAAUUGCAACCAUCAUGUUGUGCGCCAGUUUAUUGUAGACUGCUUGAGGUAGAAUUUCCUGAGUGUUCAUUCUCAAUUUUAUCAGAUGGAAUUUCUUAUCAUUUGAAAUAUGCAUUGGUGAAUUUGAUGUAGAACCUAUUUAUAGCUCCCUGAGAUAAUCUGCAUUGCAUAAUUACAUUGUGAGCUCUGAGAUCUAAAGUUGUGUAAUAGUCAUGUAAUAGUGUCAUUCCAUAACCCAAGUGUGCUUCUGAAUCAUGUCAUUGUCUCUAUAUGAUAAUCUCCCUCUGUAAUUAAUAAUUAUUAUGGAAGGAACUAGCAAAUUGUUGUUCUUAUAAGCUCAGUUAUUCCAUGUUUCUGAAAGAGAAAAAAUUUGUUCAUAGUUGAAAACUCAUAUGCUAGUUCGCUAUAUAUUCCUUUUA
Pyrus x bretschneideri (Chinese white pear) is the source of this 665-nucleotide long non-coding RNA. RefSeq lists it as uncharacterized. The record is from RefSeq and is a predicted model, not a curated record. NCBI's taxonomy places the organism in Eukaryota, Viridiplantae, Streptophyta, Magnoliopsida, Rosales, Rosaceae. The transcript has 2 exons.